RNAcentral lists this ribosomal RNA (376 nucleotides) under uncultured bacterium. Its description in RNAcentral is "bacterial SSU rRNA". It matches the Rfam family "Bacterial small subunit ribosomal RNA", at positions 29 to 419 of the family's 1533-position model. The record is from RNAcentral.
AGCGAACGCUAGCGGCGGGCCUAACACAUGCAAGUCGAGCGGAGGGAGCAAUCCUUCAGCGGCGGACGGGUGAGUAACGCGUAGGUAAUGUACCUUCUGGUGGGGAAUAACCGUGGGAAACCAUGGCUAAUACCGCAUAUCGUCCUUACGGAUGAAAGCCUUCGGGCGCCAGAAGAGCAGCCUGCGUCCCAUUAUUUAGUCCUAGUUGGUGAGGUAACGGCUCACCAAGGGUACGAUGGGUAGCUGGUCUGAGAGGAUGAUCAGCCACACUGGAACUGAGACACGGUCCAGACUCCUACGGGAGGCAGCAGUGGGGAAUAUUGCGCAAUGGGCGAAAGCCUGACGCAGCCACGCCGCGUGAGUGAUGAAGGCCUUC